Molecule: transfer RNA, 61 nt
Organism: Acidocella sp. MX-AZ02
Lineage: Bacteria; Pseudomonadati; Pseudomonadota; Alphaproteobacteria; Acetobacterales; Acidocellaceae
Rfam family: tRNA
About the family: Transfer RNA (tRNA) molecules are approximately 80 nucleotides in length.
Source: Rfam
UGUUGUGUAGCUCGUCAGGCUCAUAACCUGAAGGUCGCACGUUCAAAUCGUGCCCCCGCAA